Molecule: ribosomal RNA, 2912 nt
Filed under: Pseudomonas aeruginosa
Lineage: Bacteria; Pseudomonadati; Pseudomonadota; Gammaproteobacteria; Pseudomonadales; Pseudomonadaceae
Description: 23S ribosomal RNA
Rfam family: Bacterial large subunit ribosomal RNA
Source: RNAcentral
GUUAUAUGGUCAAGUGAAGAAGCGCAUACGGUGGAUGCCUUGGCAGUCAGAGGCGAUGAAAGACGUGGUAGCCUGCGAAAAGCUUCGGGGAGUCGGCAAACAGACUUUGAUCCGGAGAUCUCUGAAUGGGGGAACCCACCUAGGAUAACCUAGGUAUCUUGUACUGAAUCCAUAGGUGCAAGAGGCGAACCAGGGGAACUGAAACAUCUAAGUACCCUGAGGAAAAGAAAUCAACCGAGAUUCCCUUAGUAGUGGCGAGCGAACGGGGAUUAGCCCUUAAGCUUCAUUGAUUUUAGCGGAACGCUCUGGAAAGUGCGGCCAUAGUGGGUGAUAGCCCCGUACGCGAAAGGAUCUUUGAAGUGAAAUCGAGUAGGACGGAGCACGAGAAACUUUGUCUGAACAUGGGGGGACCAUCCUCCAAGGCUAAAUACUACUGACUGACCGAUAGUGAACCAGUACCGUGAGGGAAAGGCGAAAAGAACCCCGGAGAGGGGAGUGAAAUAGAACCUGAAACCGUAUGCGUACAAGCAGUGGGAGCCUACUUGUUAGGUGACUGCGUACCUUUUGUAUAAUGGGUCAGCGACUUAUAUUCAGUGGCAAGCUUAACCGUAUAGGGUAGGCGUAGCGAAAGCGAGUCUUAAUAGGGCGUUUAGUCGCUGGGUAUAGACCCGAAACCGGGCGAUCUAUCCAUGAGCAGGUUGAAGGUUGGGUAACACUGACUGGAGGACCGAACCCACUCCCGUUGAAAAGGUAGGGGAUGACUUGUGGAUCGGAGUGAAAGGCUAAUCAAGCUCGGAGAUAGCUGGUUCUCCUCGAAAGCUAUUUAGGUAGCGCCUCAUGUAUCACUCUGGGGGGUAGAGCACUGUUUCGGCUAGGGGGUCAUCCCGACUUACCAAACCGAUGCAAACUCCGAAUACCCAGAAGUGCCGAGCAUGGGAGACACACGGCGGGUGCUAACGUCCGUCGUGAAAAGGGAAACAACCCAGACCGCCAGCUAAGGUCCCAAAGUUGUGGUUAAGUGGUAAACGAUGUGGGAAGGCUUAGACAGCUAGGAGGUUGGCUUAGAAGCAGCCAUCCUUUAAAGAAAGCGUAAUAGCUCACUAGUCGAGUCGGCCUGCGCGGAAGAUGUAACGGGGCUCAAACCACACACCGAAGCUGCGGGUGUCACGUAAGUGACGCGGUAGAGGAGCGUUCUGUAAGCCUGUGAAGGUGAGUUGAGAAGCUUGCUGGAGGUAUCAGAAGUGCGAAUGCUGACAUGAGUAACGACAAUGGGUGUGAAAAACACCCACGCCGAAAGACCAAGGGUUCCUGCGCAACGUUAAUCGACGCAGGGUUAGUCGGUUCCUAAGGCGAGGCUGAAAAGCGUAGUCGAUGGGAAACAGGUUAAUAUUCCUGUACUUCUGGUUACUGCGAUGGAGGGACGGAGAAGGCUAGGCCAGCUUGGCGUUGGUUGUCCAAGUUUAAGGUGGUAGGCUGAAAUCUUAGGUAAAUCCGGGGUUUCAAGGCCGAGAGCUGAUGACGAGUCGUCUUUUAGAUGACGAAGUGGUUGAUGCCAUGCUUCCAAGAAAAGCUUCUAAGCUUCAGGUAACCAGGAACCGUACCCCAAACCGACACAGGUGGUCGGGUAGAGAAUACCAAGGCGCUUGAGAGAACUCGGGUGAAGGAACUAGGCAAAAUGGCACCGUAACUUCGGGAGAAGGUGCGCCGGCUAGGGUGAAGGAUUUACUCCGUAAGCUCUGGCUGGUCGAAGAUACCAGGCCGCUGCGACUGUUUAUUAAAAACACAGCACUCUGCAAACACGAAAGUGGACGUAUAGGGUGUGACGCCUGCCCGGUGCCGGAAGGUUAAUUGAUGGGGUUAGCGCAAGCGAAGCUCUUGAUCGAAGCCCCGGUAAACGGCGGCCGUAACUAUAACGGUCCUAAGGUAGCGAAAUUCCUUGUCGGGUAAGUUCCGACCUGCACGAAUGGCGUAACGAUGGCGGCGCUGUCUCCACCCGAGACUCAGUGAAAUUGAAAUCGCUGUGAAGAUGCAGUGUAUCCGCGGCUAGACGGAAAGACCCCGUGAACCUUUACUGUAGCUUUGCACUGGACUUUGAGCCUGCCUGUGUAGGAUAGGUGGGAGGCUUUGAAGCGUGGACGCCAGUUCGCGUGGAGCCAUCCUUGAAAUACCACCCUGGCAUGCUUGAGGUUCUAACUCUGGUCCGUGAUCCGGAUCGAGGACAGUGUAUGGUGGGCAGUUUGACUGGGGCGGUCUCCUCCUAAAGAGUAACGGAGGAGUACGAAGGUGCGCUCAGACCGGUCGGAAAUCGGUCGCAGAGUAUAAAGGCAAAAGCGCGCUUGACUGCGAGACAGACACGUCGAGCAGGUACGAAAGUAGGUCUUAGUGAUCCGGUGGUUCUGUAUGGAAGGGCCAUCGCUCAACGGAUAAAAGGUACUCCGGGGAUAACAGGCUGAUACCGCCCAAGAGUUCAUAUCGACGGCGGUGUUUGGCACCUCGAUGUCGGCUCAUCACAUCCUGGGGCUGAAGCCGGUCCCAAGGGUAUGGCUGUUCGCCAUUUAAAGUGGUACGCGAGCUGGGUUUAGAACGUCGUGAGACAGUUCGGUCCCUAUCUGCCGUGGACGUUUGAGAUUUGAGAGGGGCUGCUCCUAGUACGAGAGGACCGGAGUGGACGAACCUCUGGUGUUCCGGUUGUCACGCCAGUGGCAUUGCCGGGUAGCUAUGUUCGGAAAAGAUAACCGCUGAAAGCAUCUAAGCGGGAAACUUGCCUCAAGAUGAGAUCUCACUGGGAACUUGAUUCCCCUGAAGGGCCGUCGAAGACUACGACGUUGAUAGGCUGGGUGUGUAAGCGUUGUGAGGCGUUGAGCUAACCAGUACUAAUUGCCCGUGAGGCUUGACCAUAUAACACCCAAACA